UACGGAGGGUGCAAGCGUUAUCCGGAUUCACUGGGUUUAAAGGGUAGCGUAGGCGGGCAGGUAAGUCCGUGGUGAAAUCUCUGAGCUUAACUCAGGAAACUGCCAUGGAUACUAUUUGUCUUGAAUAUUGUGGAGGUAAGCGGAAUAUGUCAUGUAGGCGGUGAAAUGCUUAGAUAUGACAUAGAACACCAAUUGCGAAGGCAGCUUCUACACAGUUAUUGACGCUGAGGCACGAAAGCGGUGGGGAUCAAACAGG
Molecule: ribosomal RNA, 256 nt
Filed under: uncultured bacterium
Lineage: Bacteria
Description: partial 16S ribosomal RNA
Rfam family: Bacterial small subunit ribosomal RNA
Source: RNAcentral